UUAAAUAGCUGAAGAGUAUCUCAUUGUGUGAAUGAACCACAUUUUCUUGAUCAAUUUUUCAGUUGAGGGAAGGUCAGGCUGUUCCCAGUUCCUGACUAUUAUAAAUAAAGCUGCUAGGAACGUAGUGGAGGAUGUGUCCUUGUAGCACGGUGGAGCAUCUUUUGAAUAUAUGCCCAGGAGAGGUAGAGCUGGGUCUACACUUUGAGACACUGUGCUGCCCCAGACAAGAACUGUACCUUAACUGGCUUGAAACCCACUUCUCCUUCCUACUCUUCCAUGCCUUGUUCAAAGAGGACAAAAGCAAAGGUUUCAGUUACUGAGUAAACAGGCUAAAAAUGGACAUCCUGUGAAAGACUCGGAGACUGAGAAUCCACAGGAGUCGGAAGACUCCGAAAGGGCAGAGGACUGUCAUUUUACAAACACCUUUGUUCCUUUGGAUGUCUCCUUCCGCCCCUUAGAUCCUUUCUGUCACAUCCUGUUCCCCUCUUUUCAGUAACCUGUCCCCCUUUAUUUCUAUGGCCUUUGACUCAUUUCUGCAUCUCCUUUAUAUCUGUGCACAAUUAUUAGAAGUAUUUAAAAUAAAGACAUUUGCAGAACGGUAAAUGAAAAUGAUACAGUUCUUUUCAUUUUCCCGGUUUGUCCUCAUCAUGCUCCUUCUAUGUUCCUUGACCUUCCUUGCUGGGUAGAGGAGUCUCUCUUAGCUCCUGCACACAUGAAUCACGAAGUCGCUUCCGGAAUGAAGUCUACGUCCUUUUAAAGAGCACCUAACAUUUAAUUAGCUAUGUGCUUAUUUCUCAGAGCAAGGACAAUACCAUAUUCACAUUUUAAUACAGGAGGUAUUUACUUUUAUAAUGUGUGGCUUGUAAGACUUUCAUUUUCUACAAUAAGAUUGCCUAGAAUUACUAUUAAUUCUGUGAAUGAUCACUAAAUAUGAUUAGUGAGUGGUUUUGUGGCAUUAUUUUAAUAACCUCUUUACAAGGUCACCUUUUUGUAUUUUAUUUGGUUAAGUGAUAAACUUUCAAUAGUGGAAUGUAAAUUCAGCACAGCCUUGUUCACAGUUGUUAAGGGAAUACAAAAUGAAAAACCCAUCGCUGGUCCUGUUCAUGUCACAAAUGGAUUAAUACCGACUUUUGCUGAUUCGCUAACUGUCACAAACCUUGAAAUGAGGAAAUGGGAGACUUUACCUUUUGUGCUUAGUUUUGUCAACUGUUUGAGGUCAAGCUCCCGAAGAUAAGAAGGCACACCACACUGCAAAGAUGUAGAUAUAUAUACGUACUCUACAACAGUUUCAAACUGUCACUAUAGCUUCCCCAACCACAAGCUACCACCACUAGUAGGGAGAGAGACUCAAGUAUUUUAAGCAAUUCUCUCACACAAUAGCUUUUUGUUGUAGACAGUUAAGAUGUGGACUGAGGGUCAAGGGUACUGAGGAAUGUGAGUGGCAACCUUUUAUGCCUCUCACUUGUUGGUCUCCCUGUCUUUCCUCUCAGCUAUUCAAGGGGCUCUGAGGUGAAACUACUGUAAUGUAAGCAUUGAAUCUGCAAGGUAUAGUGACCCCAGGGCACAGGAAACAGAGGCUCCUACUUCACACCAGGACCCUAAUCAGCAUUUUAAUGUUUUGCAGGCUGGUAUUUAAUUAAGACACUGGUGCUCCCUAGUUUAAACCGUAGCACUGAGUCCUGUAACUUUCCCUGGAUAGUCAGCACAAUUACAAUCACUGGGGGAAAGGAGCAAAGGGGCCUCUCUCUAAAGAUGUCCUUCCUCUUUAAAGUGCAUCCCUGCUGCUGUGGUUAUUUAAAGGUAAAAACAACAAGGAUUUGUUUUGAAAGCUGAUAGAAUUGGAAUAAAAAGAAUAUAACUUUUAAGGCUAGAAUAAUCCAUUGUAGAUGUCACUUAUGACCUCUACAUGGUUGGUUUAUCUAAUGUCUCUAAUGUUCUCUUGCUCUGGUAAAAUAAAAGGAAGAACAUCCACUACAUACUCUGUAUGAGGACUGGAAGGGAGGUGUCAGGUCUACACUGUGGAUGCACUGGACAUGAGCUUGCUACUUCAGCCUUGGCACAAAACAAUUCCAGGUCAGAGUCCAGGCAGGGACCUGACUACAAAAGCUGACUCAAGGACCCUGAAACCAGGUGACCCAGAUAAGGCCCAGUCACCAAUGUUAACUUCCUUGCCUUUACCCUGGUAUCAAAAUAUGAUUGGACAAUGCAACAUCUCACCCAACUCCCCCUUGCUUUGUGUUCCCAUCCUACAAAAAUAUUGUGUUAUCUCUGUUUGGGGACAUAGUUCAGAUCCUGAACUGGUCGCCUCUCUGAGAGCUCAGAAAAUAAAGCUUUCAUUUUUUA
This 2343-nucleotide small RNA is filed under the name Rattus norvegicus (Norway rat). RNAcentral's name for it is "uncharacterized LOC102552685". The record is from RNAcentral. Lineage: Eukaryota; Metazoa; Chordata; Mammalia; Rodentia; Muridae.